GCCUCUGUAGUGUAGUCCGGCCAAUCAUAUUGCCCUCUCGAGGCAAUGACCCGGGUUCAAAUCCCGGCGGAGGCA
Molecule: transfer RNA, 75 nt
Filed under: Candidatus Woesearchaeota archaeon
Lineage: Archaea; Nanobdellati; Candidatus Woesearchaeota
Description: tRNA-Glu
Rfam family: tRNA
About the family: Transfer RNA (tRNA) molecules are approximately 80 nucleotides in length. Their secondary structure includes four short double-helical elements and three loops (D, anti-codon, and T loops). Further hydrogen bonds mediate the characteristic L-shaped molecular structure. tRNAs have two regions of fundamental functional importance: the anti-codon, which is responsible for specific mRNA codon recognition, and the 3' end, to which the tRNAs corresponding amino acid is attached (by aminoacyl-tRNA synthetases). tRNAs cope with the degeneracy of the genetic code in two manners: having more than one tRNA (with a specific anti-codon) for a particular amino acid; and 'wobble' base-pairing, i.e. permitting non-standard base-pairing at the 3rd anti-codon position.
Source: RNAcentral